RNAcentral lists this ribosomal RNA (207 nucleotides) under uncultured bacterium. Its description in RNAcentral is "partial 16S ribosomal RNA". It matches the Rfam family "Bacterial small subunit ribosomal RNA", at positions 568 to 774 of the family's 1533-position model. The record is from RNAcentral.
CGUGUAGGCGGACAAUCAAGUCCGGUGUGAAAGACCUCGGCUUAACCGAGGGGACGCGCUGGAAACUGGUAGUCUUGAGUACUGGAGGGGAAGCUGGAAUUCCUGGUGUAGGGGUGAAAUCUGUAGAUAUCAGGAAGAACACCGGUGGCGAAGGCGAGCUUCUGGCCAGUAACUGACGCUGAGGCGCGAAAGCGUGGGGAGCGAACA